ACUUGAAUAGCUUAUAUUUCAGAGCGUGACACUGAAGAUGUCAAUGAGGAUUAUUUCCUUCGAGUG
Molecule: transfer RNA, 66 nt
Filed under: Reticulitermes chinensis
Lineage: Eukaryota; Metazoa; Arthropoda; Insecta; Blattodea; Rhinotermitidae
Also listed under: 1 other name
Description: tRNA-Phe
Source: RNAcentral